AGAGUUUGAUCCUGGCUCAGAACGAACGCUGGCGGCAGGCCUAAUACAUGCAAGUCGAGCGAGAAGGUACCUUCGGGUACUGGACAGCGGCGGACGGGUGAGUAACGCGUGGGAAUAUACCUUUCGGUGGGGGACAACAGUUGGAAACGACUGCUAAUACCGCAUACGCCCUUUGGGGGAAAGAUUUAUCGCCGAGAGAUUAGCCCGCGUUAGAUUAGGUAGUUGGUGAGGUAACGGCUCACCAAGCCGACGAUCUAUAGCUGGUCUGAGAGGAUGAUCAGCCACACUGGGACUGAGACACGGCCCAGACUCCUACGGGAGGCAGCAGUGGGGAAUAUUGCGCAAUGGAGGAAAUUCUGACGCAGCCAUGCCGCGUGAGUGAAGAAGGCCUUAGGGUUGUAAAGCUCUUUCAACUGUGAGGAUGAUGACAGUAGCAGUAGAAGAAGCUCCGGCUAACUUCGUGCCAGCAGCCGCGGUAAUACGAAGGGAGCAAGCGUUGUUCGGAAUUACUGGGCGUAAAGGGCGUGUAGGCGGACUGUCCAGUCAGGGGUGAAAUCCCGGGGCUCAACCUCGGAACUGCCUUUGAUACUGACAGUCUA
This 599-nucleotide ribosomal RNA is filed under the name uncultured Alphaproteobacteria bacterium. RNAcentral describes it as "bacterial SSU rRNA". It matches the Rfam family "Bacterial small subunit ribosomal RNA", at positions 8 to 643 of the family's 1533-position model. The record is from RNAcentral. Lineage: Bacteria; Pseudomonadati; Pseudomonadota; Alphaproteobacteria.